Molecule: ribosomal RNA, 424 nt
Filed under: uncultured bacterium
Lineage: Bacteria
Description: bacterial SSU rRNA
Rfam family: Bacterial small subunit ribosomal RNA
Source: RNAcentral
UAGGGAAUAUUGGUCAAUGGGCGCAAGCCUGAACCAGCCAUGCCGCGUGCAGGAUGAAGGUUCUCUGAGUUGUAAACUGCUUUUGUACAGGAGCAAAACAAUCCCUGCGGGGGUUCUUGAGAGUACUGUAAGAAUAAGCACCGGCUAAUUCCGUGCCAGCAGCCGCGGUAAUACGGGAGGUGCAAGCGUUAUCCGGUUUUAUUGGGUUUAAAGGGUGCGUAGGCGGCUUAUUAAGUCAGUUGUGAAAUCCUAGUGCUUAACGCUAGAACUGCGAUUGAUACUAUUAGGCUUGAGUUGAGAAGGGGUAGGCAGAAUUUAUGGUGUAGUAGUGAAAUGCUUAGAUAUCAUAAGGAAUACCAAUAGCGUAGGCAGCUUACUGGUCUUUAACUGACGCUGAGGCACGAAAGCGUGGGGAGCAAACAGG